UGUUUGAUCCUGGCUCAGGAUGAACGCUAGCGGCAGGCUUAAUACAUGCAAGUCGGACGGCAGCACGGGUAGCAAUACCUGGUGGCGAGUGGCGCCACGGGUGCGUAACGCGUAUGCAACCUACCCUUAACUGAGACAUAACCUGGCGAAAGCUGGGCUAAUAUCUCAUGAGGUUAUAGAGGGGCAUCCUGAUAUAAUCAAAGCAGCGAUGUGGUUAAGGAUGGGCAUGCGUCCCAUUAGCUAGUUGGCGAGGUAACGGCUCACCAAGGCGACGAUGGGUAGGGGUUCUGAGAGGAAGGUCCCCCACACUGGUACUGAGACACGGACCAGACUCCUACGGGAGGCAGCAGUAAGGAAUAUUGGGCAAUGGUCGGAAGACUGACCCAGCCAUGCCGCGUGCAGGAAGAAGGCCCUAUGGGUUGUAAACUGCUUUAGCCAGGGGCUAAACCUACCGAUGCGUUGGUAGCUGAAGGUACCUGGAGAAUAAGCAUUCGGCUAA
This 499-nucleotide ribosomal RNA is filed under the name uncultured bacterium. RNAcentral describes it as "bacterial SSU rRNA". It matches the Rfam family "Bacterial small subunit ribosomal RNA", at positions 10 to 500 of the family's 1533-position model. The record is from RNAcentral.